CUACGGGAGGCAGCAGUGGGGAAUAUUGGACAAUGGGGGAAACCCUGAUCCAGCAAUGCCGCGUGUGUGAAGAAGGCCUGCGGGUUGUAAAGCACUUUCGGUUGGGAGGACUGCUUCUAGCACUAAUAUUGUUGGAAGUUGACGUUACCUUCAGAAGAAGCACCGGCUAACUCCGUGCCAGCAGCCGCGGUAAUACGGAGGGUGCAAGCGUUAAUCGGAAUUACUGGGCGUAAAGCGCGCGUAGGCGGCUAGAUCAGUCGGGUGUGAAAGCCCCAGGCUUAACCUGGGAACUGCAUCCGAUACUGUCUAGCUUGAGUACAGGAGAGGAGAGUGGAAUUCCACAUGUAGCGGUGAAAUGCGUAGAUAUGUGGAGGAACACCAAUGGCGAAGGCAGCUCUCUGGCCUGAUACUGACGCUGAGGUGCGAAAGCGCGGGGAGCAAACAGGAUUAGAUACCCCAGUAGUC
Molecule: ribosomal RNA, 465 nt
Filed under: uncultured bacterium
Lineage: Bacteria
Description: partial 16S ribosomal RNA
Rfam family: Bacterial small subunit ribosomal RNA
Source: RNAcentral